GACGAACGCUGGCGGCGUGCUUAACACAUGCAAGUCGAACGGAAAGGCCCUGCUUGCAGGAUACUCGAGUGGCGAACGGGUGAGUAACACGUGGGUGAUCUGCCCUGCACUUCGGGAUAAGCUUGGGAAACUGGGUCUAAUACCGGAUAGGAGCCAUCUUUAGUGUGGUGGUUGGAAAGUUUUUUCGGUGUAGGAUGAGCUCGCGGCCUAUCAGCUUGUUGGUGGGGUAAUGGCCUACCAAGGCGGCGACGGGUAGCCGGCCUGAGAGGGUGUACGGCCACAUUGGGACUGAGAUACGGCCCAGACUCCUACGGGAGGCAGCAGUGGGGAAUAUUGCACAAUGGGCGCAAGCCUGAUGCAGCGACGCCGCGUGGGGGAUGAAGGCCUUCGGGUUGUAAACUCCUUUCGCUAGGGACGAAGCUUUGUUGUGACGGUACCUAGAUAAGAAGCACCGGCUAACUACGUG
This 466-nucleotide ribosomal RNA is filed under the name uncultured bacterium. RNAcentral's name for it is "partial 16S ribosomal RNA". It matches the Rfam family "Bacterial small subunit ribosomal RNA", at positions 28 to 507 of the family's 1533-position model. The record is from RNAcentral.